This 357-nucleotide long non-coding RNA is filed under the name Brassica napus (rape). Its description in RNAcentral is "long non-coding RNA (BNAP_LNC021017)". Lineage: Eukaryota; Viridiplantae; Streptophyta; Magnoliopsida; Brassicales; Brassicaceae. The record is from RNAcentral.
UAACAAUGUAUCAGAAUCGAAACAUACAACAAAUACAUUUUUAAGUUGAACAUGAUAAUAGAAAAGUAAUAACACGAUGCUUCCUAACUCACUUUGCAGGAUAGACUGAUUCGCUAACUUUUCUAUCGUUGCUCUCGGCCUUAUAUGAUCUUGUGUUCGACUAUCAUCCAUUGUGAUCCAACGCCUUUCAUCACUUAAUAGAUCAGGAGGCACGAUCCAUCUGUUACAUCAUUGCCCAUUCCAUACACUCCCGCUGCAGGAGAUAACAUGCUUUGUUGUAUUCAAGAUCCAUACCAUACAUAAUUCCUCAAAUUGACAUUGAUAAUAAUCAAACUCCAUCGACUUCCAUUCCAUGCC